Molecule: ribosomal RNA, 494 nt
Filed under: Octopus insularis
Lineage: Eukaryota; Metazoa; Mollusca; Cephalopoda; Octopoda; Octopodidae
Description: partial 16S ribosomal RNA
Rfam family: Bacterial large subunit ribosomal RNA
Source: RNAcentral
UUAUCAAAAACAUGUCUCUUUGAGAUUUUUUAAUAAAGAGUUGGGCCUGCUCGGUGAUUAAUAUUUAACAGCUGCGGUAUUAUAACUGUACUAAGGUAGCAUAAUAAUUUGCUCUAUAAAUUGGGGCUAGAAUGAAUGGUUUGACGAAAAUUUGACUGUCUCUAUUUUAUUUAUUAGAAAUUAAUUUUUGUAGUGAGAAAGCUUAAAUUGUUUAAAGGGACGAAAAGACCCUAUUGAGCUUAUAUUAUUUUAUAAAUUAUAUGAUUGUUGUUUAUUUAGAAUAAUUUUGAUUGGGGUGAUCAAGGAAUAAGAUUGUUUAAAUUAACUUCCUUAAUUAAUUUGUUUUGUGGAAAAAUAAACCAAAUUUUUUGCUUAGAAGAUAAGUUACCAUAGGGAUAACAGCGUAAUUUUUUUUGAGAGUUCAUAUUGAAAAAAGAGAUUGCGACCUCGAUGUUGGAUUAAAAUUAACCUUAAGGUGAAGAGGCUUUAUUAGG